ACCUUAAAACUAGCCUACCUUCCCCUCAACAUAACAUUAUAAAUUAAUAUACCCUAAAAUUGAUUAAUUAAAACAUUUUUUACCUCUUAGUAUAGGUGAUAGAACCGAAAAU
Molecule: ribosomal RNA, 112 nt
Filed under: Platyrhina hyugaensis
Lineage: Eukaryota; Metazoa; Chordata; Chondrichthyes; Platyrhinidae
Description: partial 16S rRNA
Source: RNAcentral